AUUGAACGCUGGCGGCAUGCCUUACACAUGCAAGUCGAACGGUAACGCGGGGCAACCUGGCGACGAGUGGCGAACGGGUGAGUAAUGCAUCGGAACGUGCCCAGUAGUGGGGGGAUAGCCCGGCGAAAGCCGGAUUAAUACCGCAUACGACCUACGGGUGAAAGCGGGGGACUCGCAAGAGCCUCGCGCUAUUGGAGCGGCCGAUGUCAGAUUAGGUAGUUGGUGGGGUAAAAGCCUACCAAGCCGACGAUCUGUAGCUGGUCUGAGAGGACGACCAGCCACACUGGGACUGAGACACGGCCCAGGCUCCUACGGGAGGCAGCAGUGGGGAAUUUUGGACAAUGGGCGCAAGCCUGAUCCAGCCAUGCCGCGU
This 373-nucleotide ribosomal RNA is filed under the name uncultured bacterium. RNAcentral describes it as "bacterial SSU rRNA". It matches the Rfam family "Bacterial small subunit ribosomal RNA", at positions 29 to 402 of the family's 1533-position model. The record is from RNAcentral.